Trachemys scripta elegans is the source of this 3104-nucleotide RNA transcript. It is a transcript of the gene named zinc finger protein 706, with no coding region annotated. Lineage: Eukaryota; Metazoa; Chordata; Testudines; Emydidae. The transcript has 5 exons. The record is from RefSeq and is a predicted model, not a curated record.
CUGUGGAGGCCCCGCGCCCUUCCCUGCGUUAUGUAAGAGGGCGGCGCCGCCAUUGGCCGGCGGGAUCGGGGCGGCCGGGACCUGCCGGCGCGGGGGGGGAGGCGGAAGCAGCGCGCAUGCGCAGUUCGGGGGCGCUGACUCCUCCAUCCUCCUCUCGGGCAGGCGGCGGCCGCGGCUGCUGCGGGGCCGCACGGAGCCUUCCCCACCCGCUCGCUAGCGCCUGGGCCGGCCGGGCUAGUCCGGAUAUGGCUCGUGGACAGCAGAAGAUUCAGUCGCAGCAGAAAAAUGCCAAAAAGCAAGCUGGACAGAAAAAGAAACAAGGACAUGAUCAGAAGGCUGCAGCCAAGGCUGCCUUAAUAUAUACCUGCACUGUUUGUAGGACACAAAUGCCAGACCCCAAGACCUUCAAACAGCACUUUGAGAGCAAGCAUCCUAAGACUCCACUUCCUCCAGAAUUGGCUGAUGUUCAGGCAUAAAGUUGUUUACAGUGAAAGUUAGCUUGAAACUAAAAACACAUCCUCAGAUCACUAAGCAUGAGAAGCAACUUCAUCAUUACUACUGCGGCAGCGAAGUCCUGGUCCUUGAUUGGACCAUUGAUACUAACUUUGAGGAAAAAAUACAACCCUAGGUGAAUUCAUGGCACCUAUUGACUCGUCUACAGUCAGACCUUACAUAACAAAUCUGCAGCUGCUUUUCUAACAAACUGUUGAUCAGCAAAAAUGAAGGGGUUACAGAAACAUUCAUAUUUUUAUGCUGUUCCCUCUUGAGCUUCAUGCAAAGACGAUUCUGUGUAAAUGUACAGUUGUGCCCUAUUUGGAAAUCCUGAAAACCAGUCCAUACUUGUUAUAAACAUUUUUUACAAUUGUAAUUAUACUGAUGUUCAUAUUGUGUAAAAUAACUCAUUUAAUAAAGUAGUAUUUUGAUUUUUACAAUAUCACAGGUUAAAUGCUUGUAGAAGUUCUGUUUCAACUUUCCACAUUAUCUGCCUUAUAAAAUCCUAAUGAGGACAAAAUGGAAUUCUCUCCAUCCUGCCAGAAACGUGAGCAGUUUCAUUCCACUGAAAGUAAUGUGCAUUACAAUAAGCUGAGCUAAAGCUAACCUAAGAGGGAAACUGCUUAUGUUUACCUUCCAAUGUUCUGCCUGUUUGAGCUCGGUUACUAAAAUUUAAUUUCUUGACUCGAGGUAUAGCCAACUUCUUAGAACCUGUAUUAGAAUCAAGGGACUUCCUCUUUUUUGUUGUUUAUUAGGGAGUGUGGGUACUACAAGCCAUUUAGAACAGGUCUCCUUUGCUGUAAGGGAACUUGUUCCUUCUAUUCAUGCACUGGCGAGACUCUUGUUAGACAAGUGAACCUUAAUAUUUAGUAGAUGGCUGGCAAAGCUGAGACACAACAGAAUUUAAUAUUUCUGGACAUGCUUAUCAGAAUAAUGUUCACAAAUGCUAUAUCAAGUUAAAGUAACUCUGCUCUUCAUUGUAAAAUUCAGUUGGAAAGAUUGUAAAUGCACAUGAACAGUCAACCACACGUCUCACCUCCCACCCUCCAGAGUCUCUGGCUAUCUUAGUAGCAACUUUUUUCAAGAAGUGUGCAAAGUAAUCAAACUCUAAUGAUCUGCUUACUUGACAAUGAACUUAAAAUAAGCCUGUUGGAAAGCACACAAGCCAAAUGACUAACUGGAAGUGAUAUAGCUAGUUAAACUUAAAUCAGUCCUGACUUACCAACAUUACCAGGGAAAAUUUUAAGUUUUGCCUGAAACCCCUAGAUGAGAGCACUUGAGGACAGAUUUAACCUUCAUAAAGUGUAUCAUGGACUUGAUUCUAAUCUCAGAGCACAAAAGUGGGGGGGAAAUCUAAAACUGGUGUAUUUGAAUUGUGCUGGAAGGUCUGUGAUAUACAGUGGUAGCCAUCCUAAAUAUAUUUGAGGUGGUACUGCCAAAGAACAGACCUUCUGAAAUUGGUUAGACAGAGGGGAAAUGCUAUGAAUUGCUGAGAAAUUGGUUACAACAAACUGCAGCCACAAUAACUACUCUUAUUUCUGACAGACCAAGUAACCAAGUUGAACACAUUCUUUGAUUUAAUGAAAUUCACUUGAAAUAAGUGGUAUUUUUGGUAUAUCAAGUCAAAUACAGCCUCUUUCUAUGUCCACUUACUUUCCCUUUUAAUGAAUUACUUGUGUCAGGCUAGCCUCCCACCCUCUUUACUGUGACAUUAAGUUGUAUCUUUUUGUAAAUGUUCACUUUGGCCUAAAGUUUCAUUGUAAUAUACCCACUCUGACAUAAUCUGUAUACCACUGAAUUUUGAUAGGUACCCUGUUCGUCUGCUGAAAAUAAUCCAGUACUGCACCUAGUACUGACAUUAGAAUGUAGCCCUUCAUUUUUUCUUAAUGUUAGCAGUUAAUUCAAUAACUUCAUUCUGACAGCCUGACUCCCACAAGACAAGAAAUCUGCCUUUCAACUUGGUGCUGAGGGGUACCUAAAUGUUCUCAUACUGUAAUUUCAUCAAAAAUAAGAUGAGUAUACCCUGAACAAAAUGUUCCUCACAUUGAUUGAUGUUUGGUAGUCUGGUUUUUCUCAGGAGAAGGUUCUGGGAUGCAUCCUUUACCAAAAAAAGCCCUAAGCUGAAAGACAUGUUUUGUUGCUUUAAUUUACAGAUUGUGUAGCAAACGUAGUUAAUGAGCAAAUAAGGUGGCUGGAAAGCGGCAUCAUACUGGUAGGACAAAUUAACCUACUUAAGAAUUUUGUUGCAUUUUGAAAACUGUAUGAUAACUACGUAACAAUCAGUUGAUAUUGGUAAAGGCCAGGGUGGUGUUCAGUUUUAUACACUAAUAAACUCCCUAUUUACAGCUGUUGCAAUCUGAAAUACUGUAACAUUUUCUAAUAAACUGAACCCAAAAGUAUGGGGGGAAUGCAGGACUAGUGGGGGAAUUAUCCUCAUUUAGUAUUGUCUGCAAAUACUCAGUGUAUGGAUUUAAAGAGUUGUGGGGGGGGGUAAGGAAUAGGGGAGUUUCCUCUCCUCACUUCUAAACUUGUGGAUGGCACCCUGUUAAUUCUGACUAAAAAGACACAAUUGUGCAUUGUACUGUGUCUGAUUAAAGAGCAAGUUAAAAAAC